UAGCGGUAGAAGGAAGCUUGCUUCCUUUGAGAGCGGCGGACGGGUGAGUAAUGCCUAGGAAUCUGCCUGGUAGUGGGGGAUAACGUGACGCUAAUACCGCAUACGUCCUACGGGAGAAAGUGGGGGAUCUUCGGACCUCACGCUAUCAGAUGAGCCUAGGUCGGAUUAGCUUGUUGGGUAAUGGCUCACCAAGGCGACGAUCCGUAUGAGAGGAUGAUCAGUCACACUGGAACUGAGACCAGACUCCUACGGGAGGCAGCAGUGGGGAAUAUUGGACAAUGGGCGCAAGCCUGAUCCAGCCAUGCCGCGUGUGUGAAGAAGGUCUUCGGAUUGUAAAGCACUUUAAGUUGGGAGGAUAGCCUAAUACGCUGCAACUUUGACGUUACCGACAGAAUAAGCACCGGCUAACUCUGUGCCAGCAGCCGCCAGAGGGUGCAAGCGUUAAUCGGAAUUACUGGGCGUAAAGCGCGCGUAGGUGGCGAAGUAAGAUGGGUGUGAAAUCCCCGGGCUCAACCUGGGAACUGCAUCCAUAACUGCUUGGCUAGAGUACGGUAGAGGGUAGUGGAAUUUCCUGUGUAGCGGUGAAAUGCGUAGAUAUCACCAGUGGCGAACCUGGACUGAUACUGACACUGAGGUGCGAAAGCGUGAGCAAACAGGAUUAGAUACCCUGGUAGUCCACGCCGUAAACGAUGUCAACUAGCCGUUGGAAUCCUUGAGAUUUUAGUGGCGCAGCUAACGCACUAAGUUGACCGCCUGGGGAGUACGGUCGCAAGAUUAAAACUCAAAUGAAUUGACGGGGGCCCGCACAAGCGGUGGAGCAUGUGGUUUAAUUCGAAGCAACGCGAAGAACCUUACCUGGCCUUAGAACUUUCCAGAGAUGGAUUGGUGCCUUCGGGAGAGACACAGGUGCUGCAUGGCUGUCGUCAGCUCGUGUCGUGAGAUGUUGGGUUAAGUCCCGUAACGAGCGCAACCCUUGUCCUUAGUUACCAGCACGUUAUGGUGGGCACACUGCCGGUGACAAACCGGAGGAAGGUGGGGAUGACGUCAAGUCAUCAUGGCCCUUACGGCCAGGGCUACACACGUGCUACAAUGGGGGGUACAGAGGGUUGCCAAGCCGCGAGGUGGAGCUAAUCCCGAAAAGCCUCUCGUAGUCCGGAUUGGAGUCUGCAACUCGACUCAAGUCGGAAUCGCUAGUAAUCGCGAAUCGGUGAAUACGUUCCCGGGCCUUGUACACACCGCCCGUCACACCAUGGGAGUGGGUUGCACCAGUCUAACCUUCGGGAGGACGGUAC
Molecule: ribosomal RNA, 1292 nt
Filed under: Pseudomonas sp. SW12
Lineage: Bacteria; Pseudomonadati; Pseudomonadota; Gammaproteobacteria; Pseudomonadales; Pseudomonadaceae
Description: partial 16S ribosomal RNA
Rfam family: Bacterial small subunit ribosomal RNA
Source: RNAcentral